CAAUAUUUGAAGCCAGAUGUGUGGAGAGGUUAAUCACUCCCCUCACCGGCAGUGGAUGCAGCCACACUGCUGCCUGCAAAACAUCUUUAUUGCUUCAACGCAAGGAAGGCUCUAGAAGCAUUUGGUUUGUCCAUGCAGAUGAUCUUAGUUACCUGGUUAUCAAUUAGCUUAAGCAAAGCUAAUCUCAGGCUUGCCACCCUCACACAACAUCGGGAUGCGUUUUGCACGAGAAGCAACGGCAAGGUUUGCCUUCUACAGCAGUCUAGUUUCUUGUUACCAUUGUCUAAUAAUCAAUACCAUCUUAAGCAUCAUGCGAUAGUUGAAGCAGGAAACAUGCACAUGCGCUCACCUUCCGGUUGCAUUUCAUCACAUAAAAGUGCCACAAACUAGCAAUACAACGAUAGGUAGCUUUAUGUGAAUUCGCAUUAAUAAUCCAUGCCACACAUACAAUAGCGAUAGUAGAUAGAAAGUUUAUCAUAUAGUAGUAGCUUGAGUAACUUCCAUGUUGUUUGGUUAAUGCUGCCUAUGAUUGUUGAUGAUCUUCUUGUUUGGUCUAGACGUACCUUCAGUUCUGUAAACAUAUUAAAUUAUCAGAGCAUGCACAGCAAAUCCAAGUUGAAAAUUAAUUACAAUGAUAAACAACUGACACAUCCUGAUUCUGGAUUAGGAACUCGCAAAUUUGAAAAUUGCUUUAUCUUAUUUGAUCAAGGAUAGGUUGUUGUUGUUGUAACGAUGUUCUUAUAUCUAUGCCUAACAUCUGCAUGCGAGGCACCCCUAACCCUUUUUUAUCAUUGUAAUUAACUUUCAAAAGUUGCAUAUAGACUAAUAUGAUGUGCUGUCUAAACUAGGUAGGCACCUCUGUCGGACCCAAUAUUUGAAGCCAGAUGUGUGGAGAGGUUAAUCACUCCCCUCACCGGCAGUGGAUGCAGCCACACUGCUGCCUGCAAAACAUCUUUAUUGCUUCAACACAAGGAAGGCUCUAGAAGCAUCUAGUUUGUCUAUGAUUGCUUCUCAUAUAUUUUUAUGCAAGGAAGGCUCUAGAAGCAUUUGGUUUGUCCAUGCAGAUGAUCUUAAUUACCUGGUUAUCAAUUAGCUUAAGCAAAGCUAAUUUCAUGCUUGCCACCCUCACACAACAUCGGGAUGCGUUUUGCACGAGAAGCAACGGCAAGGUUUGCCUUCUACAGCAGUCUAGUUUCUUGUUACCAUUGUCUAAUAAUCAAUACCAUCUUAAGCAUCAUGCGAUAGUUGAAGCAGGAAACAUGCACAUGCGCUCACCUUCCGGUUGCAUUUCAUCACAUAAAAGUGCCACAAACUAGCAAUACAACGAUAGGU
RNAcentral lists this long non-coding RNA (1332 nucleotides) under Setaria italica (foxtail millet). RNAcentral's name for it is "long non-coding RNA (SITA_LNC004216)". Lineage: Eukaryota; Viridiplantae; Streptophyta; Magnoliopsida; Poales; Poaceae. The record is from RNAcentral.